UGAUUCAUAGUGUAAUGGGAAGCACACAAGACUUUGGCUCUUGUAGUUUAGGUUCGGAUCCUAAUGAAUCAA
RNAcentral lists this transfer RNA (72 nucleotides) under Chryseobacterium sp. P1-3. It matches the Rfam family "tRNA". Rfam says of the family: Transfer RNA (tRNA) molecules are approximately 80 nucleotides in length. Their secondary structure includes four short double-helical elements and three loops (D, anti-codon, and T loops). Lineage: Bacteria; Pseudomonadati; Bacteroidota; Flavobacteriia; Flavobacteriales; Weeksellaceae. The record is from Rfam by way of RNAcentral.